GGACGUAGUCACCCUCGUCGACGUAGCCACGAACGACAUCCGAGCUUCAGGAGAUCUGUACGUCCGACAGAGUUGCAAAAAAGUAAUUUUUUUAUAUAGAAAAAAAAAAGAGUGAAAUAUACACAAAAGAUGAAAAUAUAUAAAGAUUGGUUUUGAAAGCGAAAAUUAAGAUUUUGAAAAGCUAAUGUUUUAAGUUGCUUCUUUUUAUCGCAUCGAAUCGUCAUGUUUUUUUCUUCGAUUGACGUUCAAUUUAUGCGUGUUCUGUUUAUAAUCUGAAGUCUUGCUUUGAAGUCUGAUUCGCAGCCAGAAAAAUGUAUAUUUUUAAGAACGGUAUUCUUAGAAUGAAAUACAACUUGUACAUUCUGGAACUGGACUAUCGUGUCAAGGUAGCCAUCACUAACAACCAGAAUUUUUCUCGAAUAUCGCUCGAAAUUUAUUUCUACUGUCACGCUAAUUUAUCUAUGCAUUCUAUUAUUCAUAAUACUUUGCAUAUAAUUUUAUUGCUAUAUAAACAACAAGUAUAGAAGAUCUUCAAUAUCUAUCGUGAAAGUUGCAACAUUUUGAAAAAUAUAUAUUUAUUCGAUCUCUCUCAACAUUAACUUAUAAACUUUGCUCUUUAAAUUGAAAAUAUGCCGCGUUAUAUGCAUCAAGAAGAAAUGAAUUCCUCAAGUGUCUCUUAGAAUCGAUUUUUCUGUCAUCUAAUUCACGUCAUUUCUCGAUCACGAAAAGAGCACAAUGGGGAGCUCGUGAGGAGUGACGAUUUCCUCGCGUUUGUUUAUUCGCGACCGCAAUGUAUACAACAAUAAAUUCACGUUACGUCAGGUAUUACAUUGGCAGUUCCCCAGAGGAUUUUGCACAAUGGUCCACGUUCGAGUCCAGUGCCUAAGAAUACUCGUGCAAUAUGUAAUGCGGCGCGUGCGGAUCACCCAAUUAUCUGAGAUGAGGAAAAAGUGUGAUUCGCGAAAAAUAUAAUCGAAUUUCAUGAGAUUCUACAACAAUAUUGACACGAUUCUAUAUACAUGUCGCGACCUUCUUAUUAUCAUUCUCAUUCGAUUAUAUGAAAUGACGAACUAACGCGUUGAGUUUUAUCGAUGUUGAAACUCCAUAAUCUUGAAGGUACACGGUUGCAGAAUUCACGAUGAAACAUUCAUCGCGGGUCGAAAAUAACAUGGAGCAAUGACAUCGGAAUUUAAAAGUCCUUCUGAAAUUUCAAGAGAUCACCAAUGGAUUUUUAUUAAGUAUUCUUAUAAAUAGUUUUUAAAAUUUAAAUUGAGUUUGUAUAAAAAAUUAUUAUAUUCAAAUGACAUGAUAAAGAACAAGAAAAAAUACUAUAAAUAUAAUAAUAAAAUAUGAAAAUUGUUACAUAUGGGAUUUACAUUAAAUGAAAUAACAGUACAAACAUAAUUUAAUGGCUUAAAUGUUAUGCGAGGAGUUGACUGUGCUAAUUUUUACGCCAGGGAACGCCACCCAAAAUGAUAAAAAAUAAUUAAUAAAUUAUUUUUAUAAUUAUA
This is a long non-coding RNA of Monomorium pharaonis (pharaoh ant), 1511 nucleotides long. RefSeq lists it as uncharacterized. Lineage: Eukaryota; Metazoa; Arthropoda; Insecta; Hymenoptera; Formicidae. The transcript has 2 exons. The record is from RefSeq and is a predicted model, not a curated record.